RNAcentral lists this ribosomal RNA (688 nucleotides) under Filograna implexa. RNAcentral describes it as "partial large subunit ribosomal RNA". It matches the Rfam family "Eukaryotic large subunit ribosomal RNA", at positions 355 to 819 of the family's 3401-position model. Lineage: Eukaryota; Metazoa; Annelida; Polychaeta; Sabellida; Serpulidae. The record is from RNAcentral.
GAGGGAAAGUUGAAAAGCACUUUGAAGAGAGAGUUGGACAGUACGUGAAACCGUUUACAGGUAAACGGAUGGGACCGCAAUGUCGACGGCGGGGAUUCAGGUUUGCUUGGCUCCACUCGAUUGGUUGUCGCUGACCUCCUUUGGGGGGCUUCUGGCGCCUUUCGGAUGANGGGCUAGGUGGCUGCACUUUCUCGUCGUUGAGCGCCACGACCGCUUGCUAGGCAGCGAGAAGCGCCCGUUCAAGGUAUCUCUUGACGCACUCUGUGUGUCGGGAGCGCUUAUAGGUUCGGGAGAUUGGCUGGCCUGCUUGGUGAGCGAGGAACUCGGGCCGUGCGUUCCGACUCGAUUUCGCUGGCUUGGUGUUCGACUAGCGAGGACUGCUUGCAGUGCUUGCUGACCGCACUGGCUAGGUCAGGAGUUGAUGUCGGUUGUGCACCGAAGGGUCAGUGGUGAAUGGUCGGCACCCCAUCCGACCCGUCUUGAAACACGGACCAAGGAGUCUAACAUGUGCGCAAGUCAAAGGGUCUUGCUAAACCCCAGGGCGAAAUGAAAGUGAAAGGAGCGGGGCAACUCGUCUCCAAAAGGUGUGAUCUUGGCUUGUAUGUUGGGCCAAGCGCAGCACCGGCCCGUCUCGUACCCAUUGCUGUUGUGGUUGAGGCGGAGCUCGAGCGUACACGUUGGGACCCCA